RNAcentral lists this ribosomal RNA (742 nucleotides) under uncultured bacterium. RNAcentral describes it as "bacterial SSU rRNA". It matches the Rfam family "Bacterial small subunit ribosomal RNA", at positions 94 to 823 of the family's 1533-position model. The record is from RNAcentral.
AGCGGCGGACGGGUGAGUAACACGUGGGUAACCUGCCCAAGAGACUGGGAUAACACCUGGAAACAGAUGCUAAUACCGGAUAACAACACUAGACGCAUGUCUAGAGUUUGAAAGAUGGUUCUGCUAUCACUCUUGGAUGGACCUGCGGUGCAUUAGCUAGUUGGUAAGGUAACGGCUUACCAAGGCAAUGAUGGAUAGCCGAGUUGAGAGACUGAUCGGCCACAUUGGGACUGAGACACGGCCCAAACUCCUACGGGAGGCAGCAGUAGGGAAUCUUCCACAAUGGACGAAAGUCUGAUGGAGCAACGCCGCGUGAGUGAAGAAGGGUUUCGGCUCGUAAAGCUCUGUUGGUAGUGAAGAAAGAUAGAGGUAGUAACUGGCCUUUAUUUGACGGUAAUUGCUUAGAAAGUCACGGCUAACUACGUGCCAGCAGCCGCGGUAAUACGUAGGUGGCAAGCGUUGUCCGGAUUUAUUGGGCGUAAAGCGAGUGCAGGCGGUUCAAUAAGUCUGAUGUGAAAGCCUUCGGCUCAACCGGAGAAUUGCAUCAGAAACUGUUGAACUUGAGUGCAGAAGAGGAGAGUGGAACUCCAUGUGUAGCGGUGGAAUGCGUAGAUAUAUGGAAGGACACCAGUGGCGAAGGCGGCUCUCUGGUCUGCAACUGACGCUGAGGCUCGAAAGCAUGGGUAGCGAACAGGAUUAGAUACCCUGGUAGUCCAUGCCGUAAACGAUGAGUGCUAAGUGU